Long non-coding RNA from Equus caballus (horse), 3115 nucleotides. The record is from Ensembl. NCBI's taxonomy places the organism in Eukaryota, Metazoa, Chordata, Mammalia, Perissodactyla, Equidae.
UAGUGAAACUUGGUUGGAUGAAGAAGAGGCAGAAAAGAGGAAGAUGUGUCACAGAGAGAGAAAACGGAAUAUGAAAGGAUUUUGAAGAGGGAAGAGUGUGGGCCUUGGAAUGGGGACUUGGUGUACCUGGAGAGCGGGAUGCAAGAAAACUAGGGUGGAUGAGUUGUUCUGAACAUAUAUUCAUUUUGUCCCAUCUACAAGGAUUUUAGCAAAUGUAGAAACAACCAAUGUGCUGAAAAAUGACCUGAAAGGCCUUAUAAUGAUGCAGGCUUUUAUGAAUAUAAAAGAGAGCAGUUUUCCUUAAUUAAUAUUUGAUCUGUUCUGGGUCUCAAGGAAAGUUACGUGUAUAUACAAUUCAUUUUUUUCCCUCUCUCACCCAUCUCUACUCUUUCUCCAUGCUUACAGCCGGUAGCUGGAAACCCAGUGCUCAAGCUUGUCUAUUUCUUCUUGGACUUGAUGCUACACUGAUUUAUUAUUUAGGUUAGCUACCUAAUGCUUUGCUAGAAACUUGCCCUCUCACCAUUGUCGUUGAGUGGAUUUUUUUUUAAGGCUGCAGCCAAUUUACAGUAAUUAAUGUGCUGAGGACAGCAGCUGUAGCAGUCAUUAAUUCCUUAAUCUUGGAGUAGAGAGAAAUGGAUUAGUUAGAGAUAAAUAUAGCUUAUGGCAUUUUCUCCUGAGGACAAACCCUUUAAAAACAGUGCGUUUCUGCUGCAGUGUGGGGGUGGGACGAAGAUGAGAGCUCUUUUUCUUUUCCUUGGGGAAUUAUUUUUGCAAGAAGGAAGGAGUGGGGUGAGGUGAAAUGGAGGUUCAUUUAAAAUGAAAUAAAAAGGCUGACCCUGGACACCAUGGAGCCUUUGGCCUUCACUCCCAGGACCCCGAGACCUCCGGGUGAAGAUUCAGCACUGGAGCUUCUAUCAGUGUUCCCUGUGCACGUCGAAUCUCUGCUUAGGAAGCCAAGCUGGGGAAGGAGAGAGGAAGAAACAACCCAGGUUCUGUUCAGUGAGCCAUUUGUUUUAAGAUGGGAUGAGAGGUUGCUCAAAGAUGUUAAUGGAAAUCUUUGCAAACACAGGCUUAAAGUUUCUUCAAUCCAGAGAGUCACUCAGCCAUAAAUAGGUGUGGGUUAUUUAGAUGCUUCCAAAGGCUACUUGAAAAUUGCUAUUUUUCCACAAAGAAGUGAGCUGUUUAUUGCUUCAAAAACGUGCCUCAGAGUGAAUGCUUUCCUUCAUCUGAGAAGGGAAAAAUACUGAAAUACAUGGAAUGCUGGGAAAAGGUUGAUUGGAGAGCAGAGAGGUGUCUGGGGCUAGAGGUUUAGGAUGGCUGCAGAACGUAUGCUUCCCUCAAGCCUUAGAAUUGAGGAAAAAGCAGGCGAUAUUGUCUUCACGGGGUAUCAGCAAGUGUUGGUCUCUUACUGGGUCAGAUGCAAGGCCACAGUAAGGUGGUCUGUGGGGCAGAGAAGGGGCCUUUGUAGAAGAGUUGGGUUUCUGUAACGGAGACCUGGAGGCUGAGGAGUAACAAUGCCUCUGACUUCCAGCAGGCUGCGGAAAGCAUGGCGCACCCUGUUGAUGAAGACGAUGGAGUUUUCCUUCUCUUCUUCCGAAGCCCUGAGGACUGAGACCAAAUGGAAUCACGUAGUGUUGUUAUUUGUACACUAACUGAAAAAUUUAUGACUCUUAGUAAAAAUAUAGACGAAUAUGUUGUCUGCUGAGAACUGAAGAUAAGAAAUAAACCAAGUUAUUGGCAACAUUUCCCACGGGUUCCACUUGAGCGAGAAUGAAUCAUUCAUUGGAUGUUCGUGGCGACACCACCAACCUUGCUGCUUUUAGAAACUGGGAAAAAAAAGUCAGUUGUUUGUUAUACUGUAGCAGAAGGGAAAAAGAAAGCAAAUUAAUUUAGAAUUCACACAAUGCCCAAGUCCUCCUUUAGGACGGCUUAGAUUCAUGAGUCUGAGGAUAGGCUGUUCUGACUUGAUCCCUGUGAUCUUUUGAAUCUGUUGGAGGAUACUCCUGCUUAGGCAGGCUGGUUUCAGGUCCCGUAUUUCAUCGUGUUUUGCCCCCAAAGCCUGACUCAACUUGUAGGUUUUUAUGCAGAGUAGUUUGUUUACAACCCCAUUUAAUAAAGUAGGCUGUAAAUUUGUCCCAUUUUUACCUUGUAAACAGGCAAUAUAGAAUAGUACAAUACUAACAGUAUAAGGGUUUCAUUGGAAUUCAGUUUUGAUCGUUAAAAUGGAUGGAAGAUAAACUGCUUAGCAGCUCCUCACAACCACGUAAAUUGGAUGUCCAACAGUGCAAAACUCCAAAAUGCAUCUUUUAAAGCUGUGAAAAGAAGCAUUAGAAGCAGAACUUAGAAUUUGUUUCAAUUGAGUUGACAGUAAUCCCAGACACAGGAAUUGUCCUAGAUGCAUCUAGAAGAAGUUGGGUCAUCUCUGCAGAAGUCUUGGCUGGCUGAAGUCCCUUAAUCUGGUUACUUGGCCCAAGGGACAUGUAGUUACUUUAGAGCUGCUUCUGUCUUUUUCCACCUCCCGUGUGUGCUCAGCCAAGUUUCCAGCGCCUUCUUGAGGCCCCUGCAAACUCUUUAGUGCCUGCUGCUGCUGUCCCAUUUUGUCCUCACAUCGCUAUGUUAACUGCCUCAGCAUCCCACUUCAUUCAUUUGUUUGGAGAGACCGUAUCGUGUAGAAGAGGGAGCUAGCUUCCCACGGCGCUUCAGAUGAGCACAGGCCCUGGAGCCAGGCAUACCUGAUCAGAGAGUCAGGUCUGACUGAAGGACCGGAACCAUAGCAUCUAUGGUUGUCAGUCACCAGCAGCUGGGAGAACUCUCUGGCAAAGAUGCAGACAUGGAAUUCUUCAGAGAAGCCUGAUUGGCUGGCUGCUUACCGUCAGGUAAGGAACAACGUCUUAUAAACACAGCAUUCCUCCUCUUACUGCCUUAAGAAAGCCACUGUUAAACUCCACAGUUUUGGUGUCAGUUGUGAGAUGUAUCUGCUGUUACUCCUGCUGAGAAAGCUGCUUAAUCUCUGGAUUCAACCUCAGACUCCAUGAAGAAAGAAGUGAUUUAAGGUUUAAGAGUGUCCACAGUGGCAUUCAGGCGUCAAACCAUCUCUCUGGGUUGACUUACCUCG